RNAcentral lists this ribosomal RNA (301 nucleotides) under uncultured Thermovirga sp. RNAcentral's name for it is "bacterial SSU rRNA". It matches the Rfam family "Bacterial small subunit ribosomal RNA", at positions 1077 to 1382 of the family's 1533-position model. Lineage: Bacteria; Thermotogati; Synergistota; Synergistia; Synergistales; Thermovirgaceae. The record is from RNAcentral.
UGGUAAGUCCGCACGAGCGCAACCCCUGCAUCAGUUGCAACGGUAAGGCCGGGCGACUCUGGAUGGACUGCCGGCGACAAGCCGGAGGAAGGUGGGGAUGACGUCAAGUCAUCAUGGCCCUUAUGUCCAGGGCGACACACGUGCUACAAUGGCCGGCACAGCGGGAAGCAGGGGGCGACCUUGAGCGGAUCCCUCAAAGCCGGUCUCAGUUCGGAUUGCAGUCUGCAACUCGACUGCAUGAAGUUGGAAUCGCUAGUAAUCGUGGAUCAGCCAAGCCGCGGUGAAUACGUUCCCGGGCCUU